Molecule: long non-coding RNA, 6840 nt
Organism: Mytilus californianus (California mussel)
Lineage: Eukaryota; Metazoa; Mollusca; Bivalvia; Mytilida; Mytilidae
Exons: 7
Source: RefSeq, a predicted model, not a curated record
UCAUACCAAGUUUUAUUAAGAUUGGUCAACUUUUUCUAUCCUAUUAGGUCCGAGUACACAGUUAUCGUCCCUUGAUUUUCGUUGUCCACAAAUAUAGUCCCUAGUGUGGACAGUGUGUUACUUGCCAAUUUUUUUUAUACCCCUUUCAAAUUUAUUUCUUCAUGUUUUAUGCCUCAAAUAGCAAGUAGGGGGAUAAAAUUACACUGUGAAAAAGUUUUGAUUCAUGAAUUUUAAAGUAAAGUAGUGAUUUGGUCCAGCUGAAAAAGGUUAAGAAUUAGCAUUUCGGAAGCUGUCAAAAGAUUUCAAGACCCCCUUAACAUAAAAUUGUCCAUAUUUGGAGUUAGAGCCGAUGAAGUUUUCUAUAAUUUUGGUAUAAUUUGUCCCAAAAGUAGAACAACACACUGUAAAAAUAUUAUUGAGAAAGGGCAGGUGGGAUUUUUUUUAUUUCCAUUUAUUGUCUAAAAGAAAUGCACUACGAAAUAACUGUGUACUCAGACCAUAAUAAUAAAACCCAAUUUUAAAUUUUUCAGUUUUUUUACCACAUUCAUUCUGUAACAGAAACCUAUGCUGUGUCAAAUAUUUAAUCACAAUCCAAAUUCAAAGCUGUAUCAAGCUUGAAUGUAGUGUCCAUACUUACCCCAACUGUUAUGGGGUAGUAUCUAGCUGCGCACUGCGGAGCAUUUAAUCAAAUGUAUUAGCGGCUAAAGGACUGAAUACUGCGCAAGUAUUUAUGGAUUCAUAGCUAUAAGGAACCAAAGAGUCCAUAAGUUAUAUUUUGUCUCACCUGGGAGGAAAAGUUGCAGAAUGCAAAAGAUAGGUAUACAAAUCAGUGUGUUACCUAUUUAUAUAAACCUGUUUAUUUCAGAAGUUAGAUGAACUUCAUUCUUCAUAUCUAUUAUACAAAAGAAAAAAGUUCCCUCGAAGAGAAACAAAUCUACAAAAGUUUUUUUGUCACAUGAAUUUCUCACUUUUUAUGAGUAAUAGGAUAACUAUUAUACUGUGGAUUCAUUAUUAUUCGUUAGAUACCGGUACCUAUUUUCGUGAAUUUCAUGGUUACCCGGGAACCACGAAUUCUAAUGUACAAUGAAUUACAAAUUGUCAAUAAGAAUGUAUGCAGACUUUGGCAAAACCAUGAAAUCAAAUAUUCACGAAAAUGCAAGUUUUCCUCAAUCCACGAAAAUUGCUACGCACGAAAAUAAAUUAAUCCACAGUAUAUAGUCUAUAAUUGGUACAUGGGAUCCUUGCAAGGUCUACAUGUCAGUCAGAUGUUUUAGGUUUUUAUCCAUUUUGAAUAGUAUUUUUGUUUUGUUUCCAGCUUUAAAUCAAACUGGGAGUGUGUGCCUUGUUUAAUACUGUACUCACUCUCCAUACUAGAGAUACACUUGUUUAACUUUCCCUUGUUGGCAUCCUGCAGUUCUUGACAUAGGUUUUAUAGAAUAAUUGACCAUGACCAACACCAAUUGAGACAAUAGCUUACAUCUACCUAUAAUCUAGCCUUAAAAACUGAACUAUAAAAUGAAGUUCAAGGACAUUAUUGUCAAUCCAUGCAAUUGAUUGUGUAAUUAUGUCUAUAUUUGAAAUAAUCUGAAAAUCUUUCCAGUAAUGUCUUCAAUGAUUAGACACAAGUUUUAUGUAUAAAUGAAUGAAAUAUAUAUAGAAAUAGGUUUCUUUCAUCUUUAUUGAUCUGUGCAACAAAAGUGAAUGAAAUCAAGGUAAUUAUUAUCCAAUGUUAAAGUGUUAAGAAUCAUAAGGAUGUUGUCUUCUUGUUAACAUCACUUGUUCUUUGUGUGAUGAUAAUGGACGGAUGCAUCAGAUUGAUUAUCACACAAUCAGUAUCAAUGGGAUGUUAUCAAUCAACCAUACUUUAAAAGGUAUUUGAUUUUUUUUUCAGAUAAAAAUAACUUUUAAGUAGAAUUGAUUUAGAUGAGUGUGUGUGUAUAUAUAUAGAUAUAUAUGUAUAUAAAGAGGACUAUAUAGGGAUGAAUUACAUAAUGUACACACUGGUAACAUGAUCAUAAAUAGGGAAAACCCAGGCAAUAAAACAUUAUUUUUCAGGCAUGCUUGAUCAUGAUAUUUAUGGUCCUUCAGUCAUUUGUACAGUUUAAAAGCAUUUUACUAUCAUUUGACAGAAAUAUAUAAUGGAAGAUGGAAUUAAUGGUUUGUAACGAGGGCUAAUGAAGGGGGAGGUAAUGAGGGCUAAUGAAGGGGGUGUGGGGUUUGAAUUGAUUCAGUAUGUUAUGGUUGGUAAUGAGGUCUAGUGAAGGAGGAGUGUGGGGUUUGAUUUGAUUCAGUAUGUUGUGGUUUGUAAUGAGGUCUAGUGAAGGGGAAGAGAGGGGUUUGAUUUGAUUCAGUAUGUUAUGGUUUGUAAUGAGGGCUCAUAAAGGGGGGUUUGUGGUUUGAUUUGAUUCAGUAUGUUGUGGUUUGUAAUGAGGUCUAGUAAAGGGGGAGUGUGAGGUUUGAUUUGAUUCAGUAUGUUAUGGUUUGUAAUGAGGUCUAGUGAAGGAGGAGUGUGGGGUUUGAUUUGAUUCAGUAUGUUAUGGUUUGUAAUGAGGUCUAGUGAAGGGAGAGGUAAUGAGGUCUAGUGAAGGGGUUAGGGUUUGAUUUGAUUCAGUAUGUUAUGGUUUGUAAUGAGGUCUAGUGAAGGAGGAGUGUGGGGUUUGAUUUGAUUCAGUAUGUUAUGGUUUGUAAUGAGGUCUAGUGAAGGAGGAGUGUGGGGUUUGAUUUGAUUCAGUAUGUUAUGGUUUGUAAUGAGGUCUAGUGAAGGAGGAGUGUGGGGUUUGAUUUGAUUCAGUAUGUUAUGGAUUGUAAUGAGGUCUAGUGAAGGGGGAGUGUGGGGUUUGAUUUGAUUCAGUAUGUUAUGGAUUGUAAUGAGGUCUAGUGAAGGAGGAGUGUGGGGUUUGAUUUGAUUCAGUAUGUUAUGGAUUGUAAUGAGGUCUAGUGAAGGGGGAGGUAAUGAGGUCUAGUGAAGGGGUUAGUGGUUUGAUUUGAUUCAGUAUGUUAUGGUUUGUAAUGAGGUCUAGUGAAGGAGGAGUGUGGGGUUUGAUUUGAUUCAGUAUGUUAUGGUUUGUAAUGAGGUCUAGUGAAGGAGGAGUGUGGGGUUUGAUUUGAUUCAGUAUGUUAUGGAUUGUAAUGAGGUUGAGUGAAGGAGGAGUGUGGGGUUUGAUUUGAUUCAGUAUGUUAUGGAUUGUAAUGAGGUCUAGUGAAGGAGGAGUGUGGGGUUUGAUUUGAUUCAGUAUGUUAUGGUUUGUAAUGAGGUCUAGUGAAGGAGGAGUGUGGGGUUUGAUUUGAUUCAGUAUGUUAUGGCUUGUAAUGAGGUCUAGUGAAGGAGAAGUUCAGGGUUUGAUUUGAUUCAGUAUGUUAUGGUUUAUAAUGAGGGCUAAUGAAGGGGUGUGUGGUUUGAUUUGAUUCAGUAUGUUUGAGAAUUAUGUUGUAAUGGUUGAUAAUGGAGAGCUGAUCAUUUGUAGAUAAUUGACUAAGGGUGUCAAUGUUUCAAUGGUAUUACAGAGCAGUUUAUGAUAUUAGUGAUGUUUAAGACAUAUUUUACAUGAAAGCAGGAUUUGUUUCAGGGAGGAUUGACUUUAUGAUUUGAGACAGGUUUGUUUUGGAUACCUGACUUUGAAAAAGUAUGAAAUAAUUAAAAAUGGUUUGUUUAUUGUUACAAUUUUAGUGAUCCGUUCAGCUCUUGUUUCCCCAUCCAUAACGACUUUAUGGUAAUGGUGUGAUGGUUAAUGACUUUAUAUGAAAUCUAUCAGGAAGACAUCUUCUGUUUUACAAGACAGAAAUAAACAGACUUUACAUGUGUCUGAAUUGAUAAAUGUCUUGCAUUCUAUAAUAAUAAAAAAAAAAUCAUUUAAAUCAAGGAUUUUUGAUAUGAAAAAUUAAUCAACAGUUAUACUUAUUAUUGAAUCAGGAUUCCUACACCUUUGUAGCAUUAUGCACAUUCACACACCAUAUUUUCUGUUAGUGUCUUUAACAAAUCAAACAAUUCUAAUGAUUGUCCUUUGACUUAAUAAACUUGUUGACAAAUAUUAAAGUUAUUGGAAGGAUAUGCUUACAUUACUUGUUUUUUGGUUGAUAGUUGUGUCAUUGGUAAUCAUACCAUAUCUUCUGGUUUUUGUCGAGCCUGCGACUUUUGUCGCAGAAAGCUCGACAUAGGGAUAGUGAUCCGGCGGCAGCGGCGUUAGCUAACUUCUUAAAAGCUUUAUAUUUUAGAAGCUAGAAGACCUGGAUGCUUCAUACUUUGUAUAUAGAUGCCUUAUGUUACGAGUUUCAGUCUGUCGUAUGUCCAUUUGUCCUUGACCUCAUUUUCAUGGUUCAGUGACUACUUGAAAAAAAAGUCAACAUUUUUUUUGUAAUGCUAAUUUCUUUCUUAUUAUGAGUAAUAGGAUAACUAUAUUUAGUAUGCGCGUACCUUGCAAGGUCCUCAUGCCCGUCAGACAAUUUUCAUUUGACCUCGACCUCAUUUCAUGGAUCAGUGAACAAGGUUAAGUUUUCGUGGUCAAGUCCAUAUAUCAGAUACUAUAAGCAGUAGGUCUACUAUAUUUGGUAUAUGGAAUGAUUGUAAGGUGUACAUGCCCAACUGGUAGGUGUCAUCUGGCCUUGACCUCAUUUUCAUGGUUCAGUGGUCAAAGUUAAGUUUUUGAGUUUUGGUCUUUUUUUCUAAUACUAUAUGCAAUAGGUCAACUAUAAAUGGUGUAUGGAAAUAUUUUAUGAUGUACAUGUCAGUCUCACAGGUUUUAUUUGACCUUGACCUCAUUUUCACGGUUCAUUUCUCAAUGUUAAGUUUUUGUGUUUUGGUCUGUUUUUCUUCAACUAUAAGCAAUAGAUCAUCUAUAUUUGAUGUAUGGAAGGAUUGUAAGGUGUAUAUGUCUGUCUGGCAGGUAUCAUCUGACCUUGACCUCAUUUUCAUGGUUCAUUGGUCAAUAUUAAGUUUUCUUGUUUAAGACUGUUUCUUAGAAACAAUAAGCAAUAGGUCAACUAUGUUUGGUUUAUUGAAUGAUUGUAAGGUGUACAUGUAUUUCUCGUUUGGUUUAUCUGACCUUGACCUCAUUUUCUUGGAUCAUGUUAAGUUUAUGUGUUAUGUGUAGUAAAACUUUGUAUUUAGGACUAUCAACAUAAAAUCAAUAGUUAGUAAAGAAGGCGAGACAUUUCAGCGUGUGCACUCUUGUAUAUAUAAAAGUAUUUUUGAUACCUAUAAUGAUAUUUUAGGAAAGAUUCCAUGUGUAUUGCUGGAAGUAUUGUAAAGAUAUAUUUUCUCAAUAUCUGCCAUUUACAUCAGGGCCGUACUCUUUUAAAAUCGCUCGACAGAGAAUGCACGACAUGGCAGAUGAUAAAUUGGCAGUGUAAUGGCUAUAUAGAAUGAUUGAAGGAGUACAUUUCCAUUUGACAGUUUUUAUCCGACCAUGACCUCUUUUCAUGAAUCGUUGAUCAUUUUAAGUUUAUGUUAUACCUAGGGAAGACAUUUCUGUGUUUGCACUCUUUGUUUCUUUUAAAAGUUUAAAUGAUUCUUUUGAAAUUAACUUGUAGUUUUACAAAACACCAAUAUUUAUUUUUUUUAAAUUCUCCUAAAUCAGAUAAUUUCAAAACACCAAUAUUUUUUUUGGAAGAUUCCUCUUAAACAAGAUAAAUGAUAAAUUGGCUUUAUUUGGACAGGUUGGUAUAUUUGCCUCAAUGGCAACUAUAUCACAUCUCCUUAUUUGUCAGAAAUAACUAUACUCGUUGGUUGAGGUUGUCAAUAUUACUGAAAGGGAAUGACCACCUCUAUAUGUUUAAGGACUACUUCUAUAGAAGGUUUUCUUGAAUACAUUGUAACAUGUUUCUUUCUAUAAAUCACUUUUGUAUCAAUAAUUGCUCGUUUAAUAUAAGCUGAGAAGUCAAGGAGAUUUUAUUUAUUACUUUUAAAAGACUUUCUCAAACCAUGCUAAAAAUCUUAAAUAUUUCAUACGUUUUAUUUCACUUUACACAUCCAGCAGAAACAAAAGACAUCUGCCAUUCUUACAUUUUAAUAUAACCAAUAAAAGUGUUUAUACAACAUAUUGGUAUGAUGAAUUUUCCACCCCUGUACACAUAUCAGUAUUGAUGGGAUUUCAGUUCUUUUUGGUCAUAUGAUUGGAGUUAAUUCAGGUGAAAACUUGUGCAACAGAACUUUGCUCAGUAUAAUGAGGAGGAAGAAUUAAGUUCUGGAAAUUUGUAAAAAAGAGACAAAAGAAGUUUGAGGAUGAGGUGAAAUGAACCCAAACAAUGAGAUAUAUAAUAGUAAAUUAUUGGAGGCUUCAUUAUAGUUUCAAUGACAAAUGAGGGCACGGGAGAAACUAAAAAAGAAAGAAUAGAUAAAGAAAAUGGCUUUUGAACAACCUUUGGCAGGUAAACUGGCAAUUUAGUCAAUUACAUUUGGGAGUCAAACACACCUUGUCAUGAGCAGGGUUUGAAUUCACAACCUCAUUGUUCAAAUAAUGUGCAGGAAUCAAACUUAUUAAAUUAAGUUUAAAAAGAUCUUGGCUUGCAGUAUCUUAGAAACAUUCAAUUGAAAAUUGACCAAUACAGAAAAUAAAUAUUGCCUCUGAAGUCUAUGUUUCUUAACCAAUUGAAAUACAGGGAGAAUUUUCAUACAGGACUUCCCAUGCAAUAUUCCUGGCAAUGUUAAUGUUGGCCUCUUAAUUCAUUCAUAGAAAAAUAAGGAAUUCCCAGUACAUAUGAUCCUGAUUUAUACAUUAUGGUUUAUUGGGAAAUACAAUCUUGAGGAGUGUUUGUAGUUCUUUAUGAAAGCCAUUGAAAUUUAACCAUAUCAUAUUUGAUUUAAGCCUUUUACUGCACGUGGGAUAAAAUCAAUUAAAUUUAAAU